GGGCAACCCUGGUGGCGAGUGGCGAACGGGUGAGUAAUGCAUCGGAACGUGCCCAUUGAUGGGGGAUAACUGCGCGAAAGCGUUGCUAAUACCGCAUACGACCUACGGGUGAAAGCAGGGGACCGCAAGGCCUUGCGUCGAUGGAGCGGCCGAUGUCGGAUUAGCUUGUUGGUGAGGUAAAGGCUCACCAAGGCCACGAUCCGUAGCUGGUCUGAGAGGACGACCAGCCACACUGGGACUGAGACACGGCCCAGACUCCUACGGGAGGCAGCAGUGGGGAAUCUUGGACAAUGGGCGAAAGCCUGAUCCAGCAAUGCCGCGUGUGGGAAGAAGGCCUUCGGGUUGUAAACCACUUUUGGCAGGAAAGAAAUCGUUUGCGAUAAUACCGCGAAUGGAUGACGGUACCUGCAGAAUAAGCACCGGCUAACUACGUGCCAGCAGCCGCGGUAAUACGUAGGGUGCGAGCGUUAAUCGGAAUUACUGGGCGUAAAGCGUGCGCAGGCGGUUGGAAAAGACAGAUGUGAAAUCCCUGGGCUCAACCUAGGAAUUGCAUUUAUGACUAUCCGAC
RNAcentral lists this ribosomal RNA (568 nucleotides) under uncultured bacterium. Its description in RNAcentral is "bacterial SSU rRNA". It matches the Rfam family "Bacterial small subunit ribosomal RNA", at positions 77 to 641 of the family's 1533-position model. The record is from RNAcentral.